GACGAACGCUGGCGGCGUGCUUAACACAUGCAAGUCGAACGGAAAGGCCCUGCUUGCAGGGUACUCGAGUGGCGAACGGGUGGGUAACACGUGGGUGCACUGCACUGCACUUCUGGAUAAGCCUGAGAAACUGGAACUAAUCCCGGAUAGGAGACAUUUUUAGCGUGAUGGAUGGAAAGAUUUUUCGGUGUUGGAUGAGUUCGCGGCCUAAUGGCUUGUUGGUUGGGUAAUGGCCUACAAACGCGGCGACGGGUCGCCGGCCUGAGGGGGUGGACGGCUACAUUGGGUCUGAGAGGCGGCCCAGACGCCGACGAUAGGCAGCAGUGGGGAAGAUUGCACAAGGGGCGCAAGCCUGAUGCAGCGAGGCCGCGUGUUGUAUGACGGCCUUCGUGUUGUAAACACCUUGCGCGAUGGACGAAGCUUUUUGUGACGGUACCUAAAGAAUAAGCACCGGCUAACUACGUG
RNAcentral lists this ribosomal RNA (465 nucleotides) under uncultured bacterium. RNAcentral describes it as "partial 16S ribosomal RNA". It matches the Rfam family "Bacterial small subunit ribosomal RNA", at positions 28 to 507 of the family's 1533-position model. The record is from RNAcentral.